This 377-nucleotide ribosomal RNA is filed under the name uncultured bacterium. Its description in RNAcentral is "bacterial SSU rRNA". It matches the Rfam family "Bacterial small subunit ribosomal RNA", at positions 523 to 898 of the family's 1533-position model. The record is from RNAcentral.
AUACGUAGGGGGCGAGCGUUGUCCGAAUUUACUGGGCGUAAAGCGCGUGUAGGCGGCUUUUUAAGUGAGAUGUGAAAUCCCGUGGCUCAACCACGGAACUGCAUUUCAAACUGGAAGGCUUGAGUAUGGGAGAGGAAAGUGGAAUUCCUGGUGUAGCGGUGAAAUGCGUAGAUAUCAGGAGGAACACCCGUGGCGAAGGCGGCUUUCUGGCCCAUCACUGACGCUGAGACGCGAAAGCUAGGGUAGCGAACGGGAUUAGAUACCCCGGUAGUCCUAGCCGUAAACCAUGGAUACUAGGUGUUAGUGGUAUCGACCCCACUAGUGCCGGAGCUAACGCAUUAAGUAUCCCGCCUGGGGAGUACGGCCGCAAGGUUGAA